CCUACGGGCGGCAGCAGUAGGGAAUCUUCCACAAUGGGCGAAAGCCUGAUGGAGCAACGCCGCGUGGGUGAAGAAGGUCUUCGGAUCGUAAAACCCUGUUGUUAGAGAAGAAAGUGCGUGAGAGUAACUGUUCACGUUUCGACGGUAUCUACCCAGAAAGCCACGGCUAACUACGUGCCAGCAGCCGCGGUAAUACGUAGGUGGCAAGCGUUAUCCGGAUUUAUUGGGCGUAAAGGGAACGCAGGCGGUCUUUUAAGUCUGAUGUGAAAGCCUUCGGCUUAACCGGAGUAGUGCAUUGGAAACUGGGAGACUUGAGUGCAGAAGAGGAGAGUGGAACUCCAUGUGUAGCGGUGAAAUGCGUAGAGAGAUGGAAGAACACCAGUGGCGAAAGCGGCUCUCUGGGCUGUAACUGACGCUGAGGUUCGAAAGCGUGGGUAGCAAACAGGAUUAGAUACCCUGGUAGUC
This 465-nucleotide ribosomal RNA is filed under the name uncultured bacterium. Its description in RNAcentral is "partial 16S ribosomal RNA". It matches the Rfam family "Bacterial small subunit ribosomal RNA", at positions 338 to 795 of the family's 1533-position model. The record is from RNAcentral.